UACGGAGGAUCCGAGCGUUAUCCGGAUUUAUUGGGUUUAAAGGGUGCGCAGGCGGGGGAUUAAGUCGGCGGUGAAAUUUUGCAGCUCAACUGUAAAAGUGCCUUCGAAACUGGUUUCCUUGAGUGUAGAUGAAGUAGGCGGAAUUUGUGGUGUAGCGGUGAAAUGCAUAGAUAUCACGAGGAACUCCGAUUGCGAAGGCAGCUUACUAAGCUACUGCUGACGCUCAGGCACGAAGGCGUGGGGAUCAAACAGGAUUAGAUACUCCCGUAGU
This 271-nucleotide ribosomal RNA is filed under the name uncultured prokaryote. RNAcentral describes it as "partial 16S ribosomal RNA". It matches the Rfam family "Bacterial small subunit ribosomal RNA", at positions 524 to 794 of the family's 1533-position model. The record is from RNAcentral.